GGUUAAGUGACUAAGCGUACACGGUGGAUGCCUUGGCAGUCAGAGGCGAUGAAAGACGUAGUAACUUGCGAUAAGCCCAGAUUAGGUAGUAACAACCAUUUGAGUCUGGGAUUUCUGAAUGGGGAAACCCACGUGCAUAAGCACGUAUCCUUACCUGAAUACAUAGGGUAAGGAGGCGAACCGGGGAACUGAAACAUCUAAGUACCCCGAGGAAAAGAAAUCAACCGAGAUUCCGAAAGUAGCGGCGAGCGAAAUUGGACUAGCCCUUAAGCUUUACACGCGUUAGACGAACGGUCUGGAAAGUCCGACGAUACAGGGUGAUAGUCCCGUAGUUGACGACGUGUGUUCAGUGAAAUCGAGUAGGGCGGGACACGUGAUAUCCUGUCUGAAUAUGGGGGACCAUCCUCCAAGGCUAAAUACUACUGACUGACCGAUAGUGAACCAGUACCGUGAGGGAAAGGCGAAAAGAACCCCUGUGAGGGGAGUGAAAUAGAACCUGAAACCGUGUACGUACAAGCAGUAGGAGCAGGCUUUGUCCUGUGACUGCGUACCUUUUGUAUAAUGGGUCAGCGACUUAUAUUCAGUGGCAAGGUUAACCAUCUAGGGGAGCCGUAGGGAAACCGAGUCUUAACUGGGCGUUCAGUCUCUGGAUAUAGACCCGAAACCAGGUGAUCUAGCCAUGGGCAGGUUGAAGGUUGAGUAACAUCAACUGGAGGACCGAACCGACUAAUGUUGAAAAAUUAGCGGAUGACUUGUGGCUAGGGGUGAAAGGCCAAUCAAACCUGGAGAUAGCUGGUUCUCCCCGAAAGCUAUUUAGGUAGCGCCUCGGACGAAUACUACUGGGGGUAGAGCACUGUUAAGGCUAGGGGUCAUCCCGACUUACCAACCCUUUGCAAACUCCGAAUACCAGUAAGUACUAUCCGGGAGACACACGGCGGGUGCUAACGUCCGUCGUGGAGAGGGAAACAACCCAGACCGCCAGCUAAGGUCCCAAAUUACUACUAAGUGGGAAACGAUGUGGGAAGGCUCAGACAGCCAGGAUGUUGGCUUAGAAGCAGCCAUCAUUUAAAGAAAGCGUAAUAGCUCACUGGUCGAGUCGGCCUGCGCGGAAGAUGUAACGGGGCUAAGUAGUAAACCGAAGCUGCGGCAAUGUGCUUUUGCACAUUGGGUAGGGGAGCGUUCUGUAAGCGGUUGAAGGUGUGUGGUAACGCAUGCUGGACGUAUCAGAAGUGCGAAUGCUGACAUGAGUAACGAUAAAGGGGGUGAAAAACCUCCUCGCCGGAAGACCAAGGGUUCCUGUCCAACGUUAAUCGGGGCAGGGUAAGUCGACCCCUAAGGCGAGGCCGAAAGGCGUAGUCGAUGGGAAACGGGUUAAUAUUCCCGUACUUCUUACAAUUGCGAUGGGGGGACGGAGAAGGCUAGGUGGGCCUGGCGACGGUUGUCCAGGUUCAAGUGCGUAGGCUUAAGAGUUAGGUAAAUCCGGCUCUUUCUAAGGCUGAGACACGACGUCGAGCACCUACGGGUGUGAAGUCAUUGAUGCCAUGCUUCCAGGAAAAGCCUCUAAGCUUCAGAUUGUAAGGAAUCGUACCCCAAACCGACACAGGUGGUCGGGUAGAGAAUACCAAGGCGCUUGAGAGAACUCGGGUGAAGGAACUAGGCAAAAUGGUACCGUAACUUCGGGAGAAGGUACGCUCUUGAUGGUGAAGUCCCUUGCGGAUGGAGCUGACGAGAGUCGCAGAUACCAGGUGGCUGCAACUGUUUAUUAAAAACACAGCACUGUGCAAAAUCGUAAGAUGACGUAUACGGUGUGACGCCUGCCCGGUGCCGGAAGGUUAAUUGAUGGGGUUAGACUUCGGUCGAAGCUCUUGAUCGAAGCCCCGGUAAACGGCGGCCGUAACUAUAACGGUCCUAAGGUAGCGAAAUUCCUUGUCGGGUAAGUUCCGACCUGCACGAAUGGCGUAAUGAUGGCCACGCUGUCUCCACCCGAGACUCAGUGAAAUUGAAAUCGCUGUGAAGAUGCAGUGUACCCGCGGCUAGACGGAAAGACCCCGUGAACCUUUACUACAGCUUGGCACUGAACAUUGACCCUACAUGUGUAGGAUAGGUGGGAGGCUUUGAAGCACGUACGCCAGUAUGUGUGGAGCCGUCCUUGAAAUACCACCCUUGUAGUGUUGAUGUUCUAACGUCGACCCCUAAUCGGGGUUGCGGACAGUGCCUGGUGGGUAGUUUGACUGGGGCGGUCUCCUCCCAAAGAGUAACGGAGGAGCACGAAGGUGGGCUAAUCACGGUUGGACAUCGUGAGGUUAGUGCAAUGGCAUAAGCCCGCUUGACUGCGAGAAUGACAAUUCGAGCAGGUGCGAAAGCAGGUCAUAGUGAUCCGGUGGUUCUGAAUGGAAGGGCCAUCGCUCAACGGAUAAAAGGUACUCCGGGGAUAACAGGCUGAUACCGCCCAAGAGUUCAUAUCGACGGCGGUGUUUGGCACCUCGAUGUCGGCUCAUCACAUCCUGGGGCUGAAGUCGGUCCCAAGGGUAUGGCUGUUCGCCAUUUAAAGUGGUACGCGAGCUGGGUUUAGAACGUCGUGAGACAGUUCGGUCCCUAUCUGCCGUGGGCGUUGGAAGAUUGAAGGGGCUGCUCCUAGUACGAGAGGACCGGAGUGGACGAACCUCUGGUGUUCGGGUUGUGUCGCCAGACGCAUUGCCCGGUAGCUAAGUUCGGAAUCGAUAACCGCUGAAAGCAUCUAAGCGGGAAGCGAGCCCUGAGAUGAGUCUUCCCUGAUACUUUAAGUAUCCUAAAGGGUUGUCGGAGACUACGACGUUGAUAGGUCAGGUGUGUAAGUGCUGUGAGGCAUUGAGCUAACUGAUACUAAUUGCCCGUGAGGCUUAACCAU
RNAcentral lists this ribosomal RNA (2887 nucleotides) under Vibrio parahaemolyticus. RNAcentral's name for it is "23S ribosomal RNA". It matches the Rfam family "Bacterial large subunit ribosomal RNA". Lineage: Bacteria; Pseudomonadati; Pseudomonadota; Gammaproteobacteria; Vibrionales; Vibrionaceae. The record is from RNAcentral.